Dermacentor albipictus is the source of this 213-nucleotide long non-coding RNA. RefSeq lists it as uncharacterized. The record is from RefSeq and is a predicted model, not a curated record. NCBI's taxonomy places the organism in Eukaryota, Metazoa, Arthropoda, Arachnida, Ixodida, Ixodidae.
CAGGAACCUGCUGCACAGCUGGAAGCUGGACAGUACAACAAUAAAGCAUCUCUUCUGCGUGCUUUCAAAAAGUGGGGCCUCAUUAUUCGCUUUUUGGGCGGUGUUCCAAUGCCCACAAGGACCUCGCCUGAAAAGAGGCGUUUGACCUCAAAUAUGUGAAUGCCAUUCUGAGCAUGUGUGGCACACAACAAGGGAUCCUAAUUUGACCACGAC